GAGUUUUGAUCAUGGCUCAGGAUGAACGCUAGCUACAGGCUUAACACAUGCAAGUCGAGGGGAAACGACAUCGAAAGCUUGCUUUUGAUGGUCGUCGACCGGCGCACGGGGUGAGUAACGCGUAUCCAACCUGCCCAUCACUUGGGGAUAACCUUGCGAAAGUAAGACUAAUACCCAAUGAUAUCUCUAGAAGACAUCUGAAAGAGAUUAAAGAUUUAUCGGUGAUGGAUGGGGAUGCGUCUGAUUAGCUUGUUGGCGGGGUAACGGCCCACCAAGGCAACGAUCAGUAGGGGUUCUGAGAGGAACGGUCCCCCACAUUGGAACUGAGACACGGUACCAACUCCUACGGGAGGCAGCA
This 358-nucleotide ribosomal RNA is filed under the name uncultured bacterium. RNAcentral's name for it is "bacterial SSU rRNA". It matches the Rfam family "Bacterial small subunit ribosomal RNA", at positions 9 to 353 of the family's 1533-position model. The record is from RNAcentral.